Molecule: ribosomal RNA, 89 nt
Filed under: uncultured bacterium
Lineage: Bacteria
Description: partial 16S ribosomal RNA
Source: RNAcentral
CCCACAUCAUGAAAGCCGCUUGUACCCGAAGUCGCUGUGCCAACUCGCAAGAGAGGCAGGUGCCGAAGGUAUGGGUGGUGAUUGGGAUG